This 301-nucleotide ribosomal RNA is filed under the name uncultured bacterium. RNAcentral describes it as "partial 16S ribosomal RNA". It matches the Rfam family "Bacterial small subunit ribosomal RNA", at positions 509 to 807 of the family's 1533-position model. The record is from RNAcentral.
CAGUAGCCGCGGUAAUACGGAGGGUGCAAGCGUUAAUCGGAAUUACUGGGCGUAAAUCGCACGCAGGCGGUCUGACAAGUCAGAUGUGAAAUCCCCGGGCUUAACCUGGGAACUGCAUUUGAAACUGUCAGGCUGGAGUCUUGUAGAGGGGGGUAGAAUUCCAGGUGUAGCGGUGAAAUGCGUAGAGAUCUGGAGGAAUACCGGUGGCGAAGGCGGCCCCCUGGACAAAGACUGACGCUCAGGUGCGAAAGCGUGGGGAGCAAACAGGAUUAGAUACCCGCGUAGUCCCUGUCUCUUAUAC